GGAUGUAGUUCAGUGGUAGAGUGCUUGCCUAACAGGCAAUGAGGCCCUGGGUUCAAUACUGAGUGCCA
RNAcentral lists this transfer RNA (68 nucleotides) under Marmota monax (woodchuck). RNAcentral describes it as "tRNA.Val". Lineage: Eukaryota; Metazoa; Chordata; Mammalia; Rodentia; Sciuridae. The record is from RNAcentral.